AGACAGUCUGUCAGGCCGAGCUCAUUACACUAAGGUAAGACAGCCUGACCCUCCGGUCUCCCUUUCCCAUCAGAUCUUGACACUGGUCUUGGUGGUCGUAAAGGAGGGAGAGCACCCUGAAGCUGGCCUCACAGCGAUGCAGUCUGCUGUAGAGCGGCAGGCCAGAUUCGGACAUGCCUGGGCUUUGUAAAAUGGGUAACUUCCCCCUGGGCAGGUAUUGCUACUGAAUGCUGGCUUACUUUCAUGUUUUGUUUUGUUUUUAGGGUCCAUGUAACCAGUGAAGCGGCCAUUAUACAUGAUUUGGUCUACAGUUGUUGGAAAAGCUCCACAAGGGGAUCUCCUGGAAGCCAUUGCAAUCAGAGCUAGAGUCAAAUCAAGGCCAGCCUGGGCUACGUGGAAGAACCUCAUUUUGGAAAAGUGAAAUGCUUAACAUGCAAUUGGUUCAAUGACUUUUGGAAAGUG
RNAcentral lists this long non-coding RNA (462 nucleotides) under Mus pahari (shrew mouse). RNAcentral's name for it is "lncRNA (MGP_PahariEiJ_G0006257.1)". The stretch from base 48 to 177 matches the Rfam family "Small nucleolar RNA SNORA61". The record is from RNAcentral. Lineage: Eukaryota; Metazoa; Chordata; Mammalia; Rodentia; Muridae.